RNAcentral lists this ribosomal RNA (2241 nucleotides) under Salmonella enterica subsp. enterica serovar Enteritidis. Its description in RNAcentral is "partial 23S ribosomal RNA". It matches the Rfam family "Bacterial large subunit ribosomal RNA", at positions 578 to 2803 of the family's 2925-position model. Lineage: Bacteria; Pseudomonadati; Pseudomonadota; Gammaproteobacteria; Enterobacterales; Enterobacteriaceae. The record is from RNAcentral.
CACAGGUUUACCUGUGUGACUGCGUACCUUUUGUAUAAUGGGUCAGCGACUUAUAUUCUGUAGCAAGGUUAACCGAAUAGGGGAGCCGGAGGGAAACCGAGUCUUAAUUGGGCGUUAAGUUGCAGGGUAUAGACCCGAAACCCGGUGAUCUAGCCAUGGGCAGGUUGAAGGUUGGGUAACACUAACUGGAGGACCGAACCGACUAAUGUUGAAAAAUUAGCGGAUGACCUGUGGCUGGGGGUGAAAGGCCAAUCAAACCGGGAGAUAGCUGGUUCUCCCCGAAAGCUAUUUAGGUAGCGCCUCGUGAAUUCAUCUCCGGGGGUAGAGCACUGUUUCGGCUAGGGGGCCAUCCCGGCUUACCAACCCGAUGCAAACUGCGAAUACCGGAGAAUGUUAUCACGGGAGACACACGGCGGGUGCUAACGUCCGUCGUGAAGAGGGAAACAACCCAGACCGCCAGCUAAGGUCCCAAAGUCAUGGUUAAGUGGGAAACGAUGUGGGAAGGCCCAGACAGCCAGGAUGUUGGCUUAGAAGCAGCCAUCAUUUAAAGAAAGCGUAAUAGCUCACUGGUCGAGUCGGCCUGCGCGGAAGAUGUAACGGGGCUAAACCAUGCACCGAAGCUGCGGCAGCGACACUGUGUGUUGUUGGGUAGGGGAGCGUUCUGUAAGCCUGUGAAGGUGUGUCGUGAGGCAUGCUGGAGGUAUCAGAAGUGCGAAUGCUGACAUAAGUAACGAUAAAGCGGGUGAAAAGCCCGCUCGCCGGAAGACCAAGGGUUCCUGUCCAACGUUAAUCGGGGCAGGGUGAGUCGACCCCUAAGGCGAGGCCGAAAGGCGUAGUCGAUGGGAAACGGGUUAAUAUUCCCGUACUUGGUGUUACUGCGAAGGGGGGACGGAGAAGGCUAUGUUGGCCGGGCGACGGUUGUCCCGGUUUAAGCGUGUAGGUGUGUGUUCCAGGUAAAUCCGGUUCACUUUAACACUGAGGCGUGACGACGAGGCACUACGGUGCUGAAGCAACAAAUGCCCUGCUUCCAGGAAAAGCCUCUAAGCAUCAGGUAACAUCAAAUCGUACCCCAAACCGACACAGGUGGUCAGGUAGAGAAUACCAAGGCGCUUGAGAGAACUCGGGUGAAGGAACUAGGCAAAAUGGUGCCGUAACUUCGGGAGAAGGCACGCUGACACGUAGGUGAAGUGAUUUACUCAUGGAGCUGAAGUCAGUCGAAGAUACCAGCUGGCUGCAACUGUUUAUUAAAAACACAGCACUGUGCAAACACGAAAGUGGACGUAUACGGUGUGACGCCUGCCCGGUGCCGGAAGGUUAAUUGAUGGGGUCAGCGCAAGCGAAGCUCCUGAUCGAAGCCCCGGUAAACGGCGGCCGUAACUAUAACGGUCCUAAGGUAGCGAAAUUCCUUGUCGGGUAAGUUCCGACCUGCACGAAUGGCGUAAUGAUGGCCAGGCUGUCUCCACCCGAGACUCAGUGAAAUUGAACUCGCUGUGAAGAUGCAGUGUACCCGCGGCAAGACGGAAAGACCCCGUGAACCUUUACUAUAGCUUGACACUGAACAUUGAGCCUUGAUGUGUAGGAUAGGUGGGAGGCUUUGAAGUGUGGACGCCAGUCUGCAUGGAGCCGACCUUGAAAUACCACCCUUUAAUGUUUGAUGUUCUAACGUGGACCCGUUACCCGGGUUGCGGACAGUGUCUGGUGGGUAGUUUGACUGGGGCGGUCUCCUCCUAAAGAGUAACGGAGGAGCACGAAGGUUGGCUAAUCCUGGUCGGACAUCAGGAGGUUAGUGCAAUGGCAUAAGCCAGCUUGACUGCGAGCGUGACGGCGCGAGCAGGUGCGAAAGCAGGUCAUAGUGAUCCGGUGGUUCUGAAUGGAAGGGCCAUCGCUCAACGGAUAAAAGGUACUCCGGGGAUAACAGGCUGAUACCGCCCAAGAGUUCAUAUCGACGGCGGUGUUUGGCACCUCGAUGUCGGCUCAUCACAUCCUGGGGCUGAAGUAGGUCCCAAGGGUAUGGCUGUUCGCCAUUUAAAGUGGUACGCGAGCUGGGUUUAGAACGUCGUGAGACAGUUCGGUCCCUAUCUGCCGUGGGCGCUGGAGAACUGAGGGGGGCUGCUCCUAGUACGAGAGGACCGGAGUGGACGCAUCACUGGUGUUCGGGUUGUCAUGCCAAUGGCACUGCCCGGUAGCUAAAUGCGGAAGAGAUAAGUGCUGAAAGCAUCUAAGCACGAAACUUGCCCCGAG